Molecule: long non-coding RNA, 1824 nt
Filed under: Delphinapterus leucas (beluga whale)
Lineage: Eukaryota; Metazoa; Chordata; Mammalia; Artiodactyla; Monodontidae
Description: lncRNA (ENSDLEG00000012357.1)
Source: RNAcentral
AUGGUCAUCCGGUGUAGCCAGAGCCGCCUGAGCUGUGGCCGCUUCCAGUGGAAUCCUCAACCUUGGCCUCAGAGUAUUAUGAAUUUUCUGAAUUCAGGGAUAAAGAGCCAGUGCUUGGAUUUACUCUCUUUUUAUUGCAUACGCUCAUCAACAUUCCAAAGUGAUGUACAAAUCAGUUGCCUUGAGAGGAACGCCAGACCCCUAGCUCUUCUGGGCCCAGAAGCCAGCGCGAGAUGAGAGACCCCAGAGCAUUCAUCAAAGCAGAGAUCUCUGGCUUCAUCUCCAGCUACUGACUCUACCAGAUUAGGAAUCUCCUAAUGUAAACAGAACUUCAUUCAAGAUAUCGAAAUGGUUCUUCAUUCUUUUUUUUUUUUUUUUUUUUUUUAAAGAAAAGUACCUGGGCCUCACUCCAGAAGUACUAACUCAGAAUCUCCAGAAACAACGAGGUCCGAGAACCUGUUUUUUAAAAAAAAUAUUUAUUUAUUUAUUUAUUUUAUUUUGGCUGUGUUGGGUCUUCGUUGCUGCACGCAGGCUUUUCUCUAGUUGUGGUGAGCGGGGGCUGCUCUUCGUUGCGUUGCAUGAGCUUCUCAUUGUGGUGGCUUCUCUUGUUGUGGAGCACGGGCUCUAGGUGUGUGGGCUUCAGUAGUUGUGGCUCACGGGCUCUAGAGCACAGGCUCAGUAGUUGUAGCGCACGGGCUUAGUUGCUCCGCAGCAUGUGGGAUCUUCCCGGACCAGGGCUCGAACCCGCAUCCCUUGCAUUAGCAGGUGGAUUCUCAACCACUGUGCCACCAGGGAAGUCCUCUUCAUUCUUUUUUUCAUUUGUUCAAUGUUUGCUAAUGUCCUAGGUGAUGGGCUAAGACUUGGGAAGGAAAAGAUAAAUGAGAUGCCAACCUUCCCCUCAAGAAACACUUGGGUAAGGGCUGACAGACAUGAACAUGGACUUGUAUAUGCUCCUAAGACAAUGUGACAGUGCUGUCACACAGCUUCAUUCAAAACCUGAUGGGGACUUGUUAAGAAUGACUAAAGUUGUUAGCUUGCUGAUCAACAUUGACUGCAGAUGACAACUACGUGUUUUGAAGGUGAUCUAUAUAAUUGGGUGUUUGAGAGUUAAACAAACAGGAGAAUAAAGGAACAUGGGGAAAGAGAGGAAACGAUUAUUAGGCAUCUAACUGAGUAAAUUCAUGAGAAUUAUGCCACUUCAUCCUCACAAACACCCUGAGUUCUAAAUUGUAAUCACUAAACAGAUGGAGGAAUUGAGAGUUGGUAUGAACAGUAGUUUCCCCAAAGUCCCACACAGCUAGCUGGAGGCAGAAGCAGGAUUUCAAUACGUGUUCAGAGUCCUUCCACCAUGUGGUGUGGUUACAGCUAAAUGAGACAAAUAAAGCAUGGGUGAAAGAGGAAGUGGGAAAACUGGGCUUUGCUGCCUCUGUGAAAAUGAGUGAGUGACUCAGAGAUUUCUGACAGCAGGACCCACGGUUUGUGUAGUCAAGGUCUGUAAAUAUUUCAGUUACUAGAUUAAGGAGAUUUUAACUCAACAGCAGAAGCUUGCUGUCAGCCAAAAACUGCAAUGAGCAUUUCUUUGAGCUGGUAUAUAGACAUACCUAUGAGAGCAAGGUGGCCUCUCUGGAUCACUGACACAGAAAACCAAACGUAGCUGAACCUCAUUUAUUUGGAAAUUAUCUAUACCAUAAACUCACACAUCCAACACACAGCAAAGAAUCAGCAAAUAAGUAAAACUCUGUGAAUACUCAAGUAGAUAUCAUAAACAACAAAUAGUAAAUCUCAUGCACCGUAGUUUUAUAACAUUCAAAACGCCCUCAAGCC